AAAAUCAUAUGUAUUUAUAUUUCGGUAGCAACAAUUUAUAAAAAUACAAAAUAUAACUUAUUAUAUUAUGUAAUUAUAAAACUGUUACUAUAAAACUCAUAAUUAGAUAGAUAAAUAUGUUAUUCCUGAAUUUUGCCCCAUAAAUAAUACAUCACACACAUAUGGGGCCCACGGGAAACUCUAUAUAUACACACGUCACCUCACUGAAUAAUGCAGAGACCAUUCUUCCCUUUAUUCCAUUCACACCCGCACUACAACACACUGAAAAAAAACCCAACAAUACACUAGAUUCACACACCAUCACUCAAAAACAUAGGGAAAAAACACAAUACAGAACACACAUAACUCACGCACAAUAUUCACAUACACACACAGAGAGCAAAAGCUCACAUUUCACCGAAAAACUAGCGAGUCGCGACUCACCGGAAACCAUUAGCACACACACGAUACACGCAGGGAGCUCCGUAUAGUGAGAGGGAUUUGAACGGAGAGGGAGAUUGGCCUAGAGAGACUGUGAGAAAAAUAGAGAACUGAGAAAGAUAGAGAAAAUAGAGGAACAGAGAUUGAGGAAGAUAGAGAGAAAGAAACGGAGAGGAGAGGGGGAUAUUUGAGCGAGAAAUGAGAGAAAAGAGACAGGGGUUGACUGUUCAGGCGAAGUCUUCACCAGGAAACGCCACUACUGCCAAAAUUUUAAUUCGUCCACCAUCUUUCAUCACUGUCAAGCUCACUGGAGCUCCGGUGAGACGAAAGCGGUGAGCCCAGCUCCGUUCUGGCCAAAUUAACAAAACCUGACCCCUUUUCAGUCGGUUCCGACUAAGUCCCGUCGAAAAAUGACCAAGUUGAAAACGGGUCAGUCUGGUAGAUUCAAAUUAGUGUUGAUUUUGGAGUUGCUGCGAGUUGGAUUUGGUGUUUUAUCAUCGAGGGCACGAACUCAGUCUCAUUUGAUUGAGUAAUACUCGAAUAAAAGCGGCAUUAAGAUCCAUUCUUCAUCUCAUUCUCAAUUAAUCUUGAUUGUCUGACACUUUGUGUGAUAAAUUUAUUGGUGUGUGAAUCUUGUUUUUAUUGAUUUCGAUAUAUUUUAUAUCAUCGCAAUUGAUUGUUGAUAUUGAUUGAUGGUGUGAAUUGGAUAAUCAAAGAAGUUGGGCUCAAUUUGGAGGGUAAAUCUUAAUUGUGGGGAUUAUGUUAAAAGUUGGUUAAUUCGUAAUUUUAUUUGGAAUAUCUAAUUUCGUAGUUGAAUAAUUUUGAUAUCAUUGAACAUGAUAGUGCCAUUAUAGGUCGAGCUGGGUAGGCUCGGUUAGACAAAUUUAGAACUUGUGGAUUGUAGAAUGUUUGGAAUAUUUAUUGAAUGAUUUUUGUUUACCGUAUUUGAAUCAAUUGUAUUUAUUUAGCUGAGGAAUGUCCCGAGGUAAUUUGUAUUUAUUUACUGGGGAAUGCCCCGACGUAUUAUGUUGGCGGAAGAUGAUCGUGAUCAAGGCCCGAGGCAUCGGGUAAAGCAUUGGAGUAUAGUUUAGAAUUGGUGUAGGUUUACUUUUCAGUACCUUUAUAUUUUGGAUUGUAAUAAUUGGACUAGACACUGUAUUUUUUGACUUAUUUUGUUUUGUUUGUUUGAUUGCUUGUUUUGUGUGUUUUGUGUGGUUUAUACAUUCAUC
This 1649-nucleotide long non-coding RNA is filed under the name Capsicum annuum. Its description in RNAcentral is "long non-coding RNA (CANN_LNC002335)". Lineage: Eukaryota; Viridiplantae; Streptophyta; Magnoliopsida; Solanales; Solanaceae. The record is from RNAcentral.